UGAACGCUGGCGGCAUGCCUUACACAUGCAAGUCGAACGGCAGCACGGGUGCUUGCACCUGGUGGCGAGUGGCGAACGGGUGAGUAAUACAUCGGAACAUGUCCUGUAGUGGGGGAUAGCCCGGCGAAAGCCGGAUUAAUACCGCAUACGAUCUACGGAUGAAAGCGGGGGACCUUCGGGCCUCGCGCUAUAGGGUUGGCCGAUGGCUGAUUAGCUAGUUGGUGGGGUAAAGGCCUACCAAGGCGACGAUCAGUAGCUGGUCUGAGAGGACGACCAGCCACACUGGGACUGAGACACGGCCCAGACUCCUACGGGAGGCAGCAGUGGGGAAUUUUGGACAAUGGGCGAAAGCCUGAUCCAGCAAUGCCGCGUGUGUGAAGAAGGCCUUCGGGUUGUAAAGCACUUUUGUCCGGAAAGAAAUCCUUGGCUCUAAUACAGUCGGGGGAUGACGGUACCGGAAGAAUAAGCACCGGCUAACUACGUGCCAGCAGCCGCGGUAAUACGUAGGGUGCGAGCGUUAAUCGGAAUUACUGGGCGUAAAGCGUGCGCAGGCGGUUUGCUAAGACCGAUGUGAAAUCCCCGGGCUCAACCUGGGAACUGCAUUGGUGACUGGCAGGCUAGAGUAUGGCAGAGGGGGGGUAGAAUUCCACGUGUAGCAGUGAAAUGCGUAGAGAUGUGGAGGAAUACCGAUGGCGAAGGCAGCCCCCUGGGCCAAUACUGACGCUCAUGCACGAAAGCGUGGGGAGCAAACAGGAUUAGAUACCCUGGUAGUCCACGCCCUAAACGAUGUCAACUAGUUGUUGGGGAUUCAUUUCCUUAGUAACGUAGCUAACGCGUGAAGUUGACCGCCUGGGGAGUACGGUCGCAAGAUUAAAACUCAAAGGAAUUGACGGGGACCCGCACAAGCGGUGGAUGAUGUGGAUUAAUUCGAUGCAACGCGAAAAACCUUACCUACCCUUGACAUGGUCGGAAUCCCGCUGAGAGGUGGGAGUGCUCGAAAGAGAACCGGCGCACAGGUGCUGCAUGGCUGUCGUCCGCUCGUGUCGUGAGAUGUUGGGUUAAGUCCCGCAACGAGCGCAACCCUUGUCCUUAGUUGCUACGCAAGAGCACUCUAAGGAGACUGCCGGUGACAAACCGGAGGAAGGUGGGGAUGACGUCAAGUCCUCAUGGCCCUUAUGGGUAGGGCUUCACACGUCAUACAAUGGUCGGAACAGAGGGUUGCCAACCCGCGAGGGGGAGCUAAUCCCAGAAAACCGAUCGUAGUCCGGAUUGCACUCUGCAACUCGAGUGCAUGAAGCUGGAAUCGCUAGUAAUCGCGGAUCAGCAUGCCGCGGUGAAUACGUUCCCGGGUCUUGUACACACCGCCC
RNAcentral lists this ribosomal RNA (1367 nucleotides) under uncultured beta proteobacterium. RNAcentral's name for it is "16S ribosomal RNA". It matches the Rfam family "Bacterial small subunit ribosomal RNA", at positions 30 to 1395 of the family's 1533-position model. Lineage: Bacteria; Pseudomonadati; Pseudomonadota; Betaproteobacteria. The record is from RNAcentral.